RNAcentral lists this ribosomal RNA (482 nucleotides) under uncultured bacterium. RNAcentral describes it as "partial 16S ribosomal RNA". It matches the Rfam family "Bacterial small subunit ribosomal RNA", at positions 355 to 824 of the family's 1533-position model. The record is from RNAcentral.
UGGGGAAUUUUGGACAAUGGGGACGCAAGCCUGAUCCAGCCAUGCCGCGUGCGGGAAGAAGGCCUUCGGGUUGUAAACCGCUUUUGUCAGGGUAAGAAAUCUUCUGAGUUAAUACCUCGGGAGGAUGACGGUACCUGAAGAAUAAGCACCGGCUAACUACGUGCCAGCAGCCGCGGUAAUACGUAGGGGUGCAAGCGUUAAUCGGAAUUACUGGGCGUAAAGCGUGCGCAGGCGGUUUUGUAAGACAGAGGUGAAAUCCCCGGGCUCAACCUGGGAACUGCCUUUGUGACUGCAAGGCUUGAGUGCGGCAGAGGGGGGAUGGAAUUCCGCGUGUAGCAGUGAAAUGCGUAGAUAUGCGGAGGAACACCGAUGGCGAAGGCAAUCCCCUGGGCCUGCACUGACGCUCAUGCACGAAAGCGUGGGGAGCAAACAGGAUUAGAUCCCUGGUAGUCCACGCCCUAAAACGAUGUCAACUGGUUGUU